CAAGUGCCAGCCCCCAGGGAUAACUGCGUUCCAGGCUACAGGGAACUCCAACAGUGUCCCUGAUCAUGGCAGGGCACCAAUCCACAGAGGAUUGGGUUCCUCUUGCACCUCGUUGGCAUAAAAACAUUCUGACCCUCCCCUCCCAAAGCCCAGAGCAGCUGCAAUGUUAAAACCUGCUGAUUUCAGUGCUUCACCCAAUGCCUCAUUGUCAGGUUUAUUUUCAGUGAUGCCAGUGGAUGUUUCCCCCACUCUGAACUAGGAUUUAAAAAUCCCAGGAACUGGGCAUUAAUAAAUGGCAGCUCUUCCACUUGGAGGAUGAGGCAUCACUCACCCUAUUGAGCCAGACUCCCACAGAAGGGGAGAAAAGGAAAAACCUGGUUUUCUCUCAUUUUCUUUUUGUUCCCAGGCUGCUGAGGCUCAGUUCUGGAGUGAUAACUUUGAAGUGCUGUGAGGAUCCACUGGAUUUUGGCACCAAUCCUGGGGAUGUGUUGGCAUCUUCACUCUACCCUCCUUCCCCAGGGUGAUAUUUGUCAGGGACCUCUCCAUGGUUUCAAACCAGGUCCAGAACUGGACACACCAUCCUGCACACCACAUUUAGAGGCUGGAACUGAUGCAAAGAAAGAGUAGCUGCAGCAGGGGAAAAAAAAUAUAGGAAAAGGAAAGAAGAGCCUGGAGGCAACAGGUCAGAAAAUAAAUAAAAAAUGAGAAAUUAUAUUAUUUGGAAA
This 725-nucleotide long non-coding RNA is filed under the name Cyanistes caeruleus (blue tit). RNAcentral describes it as "lncRNA (ENSCCEG00000011033.1)". Lineage: Eukaryota; Metazoa; Chordata; Aves; Passeriformes; Paridae. The record is from RNAcentral.